Molecule: ribosomal RNA, 679 nt
Filed under: Cedecea davisae
Lineage: Bacteria; Pseudomonadati; Pseudomonadota; Gammaproteobacteria; Enterobacterales; Enterobacteriaceae
Description: bacterial SSU rRNA
Rfam family: Bacterial small subunit ribosomal RNA
Source: RNAcentral
UGCCCUUGAGGCGUGGCUUCCGGAGCUAACGCGUUAAGUCGACCGCCUGGGGAGUACGGCCGCAAGGUUAAAACUCAAAUGAAUUGACGGGGGCCCGCACAAGCGGUGGAGCAUGUGGUUUAAUUCGAUGCAACGCGAAGAACCUUACCUACUCUUGACAUCCAGAGAACUUUCCAGAGAUGGAUUGGUGCCUUCGGGAACUCUGAGACAGGUGCUGCAUGGCUGUCGUCAGCUCGUGUUGUGAAAUGUUGGGUUAAGUCCCGCAACGAGCGCAACCCUUAUCCUUUGUUGCCAGCGGUUAGGCCGGGAACUCAAAGGAGACUGCCAGUGAUAAACUGGAGGAAGGUGGGGAUGACGUCAAGUCAUCAUGGCCCUUACGAGUAGGGCUACACACGUGCUACAAUGGCGCAUACAAAGAGAAGCGACCUCGCGAGAGCGAGCGGACCUCAUAAAGUGCGUCGUAGUCCGGAUUGGAGUCUGCAACUCGACUCCAUGAAGUCGGAAUCGCUAGUAAUCGUAGAUCAGAAUGCUACGGUGAAUACGUUCCCGGGCCUUGUACACACCGCCCGUCACACCAUGGGAGUGGGUUGCAAAAGAAGUAGGUAGCUUAACCUUCGGGAGGGCGCUUACCACUUUGUGAUUCAUGACUGGGGGUGAAGUCGUAACAAGGUAGCCGUAA